RNAcentral lists this ribosomal RNA (486 nucleotides) under uncultured bacterium. RNAcentral's name for it is "partial 16S ribosomal RNA". It matches the Rfam family "Bacterial small subunit ribosomal RNA", at positions 30 to 507 of the family's 1533-position model. The record is from RNAcentral.
AUUGAACGCUGGCGGCAUGCCUUACACAUGCAAGUCGAACGGCAGCACGGGUGCUUGCACCUGGUGGCGAGUGGCGAACGGGUGAGUAAUACAUCGGAACAUGUCCUGUAGUGGGGGAUAGCCCGGCGAAAGCCGGAUUAAUACCGCAUACGAUCUACGGAUGAAAGCGGGGGACCUUCGGGCCUCGCGUUAUAGGGUUGGCCGAUGGCUGAUUAGCUAGUUGGUGGGGUAAAGGCCUACCAAGGCGACGAUCAGUAGCUGGUCUGAGAGGACGACCAGCCACACUGGGACUGAGACACGGCCCAGACUCCUACGGGAGGCAGCAGUGGGGAAUUUUGGACAAUGGGCGAAAGCCUGAUCCAGCAAUGCCGCGUGUGUGAAGAAGGCCUUCGGGUUGUAAAGCACUUUUGUCCGGAAAGAAAUCCUUGGCCCUAAUACGGUCGGGGGAUGACGGUACCGGAAGAAUAAGCACCGGCUAACUACGUG